Molecule: small RNA, 480 nt
Filed under: Histoplasma ohiense
Lineage: Eukaryota; Fungi; Ascomycota; Eurotiomycetes; Onygenales; Ajellomycetaceae
Description: hypothetical lncRNA
Source: RNAcentral
UGACUCAUCCAGGGUUGGAAUUUUGCUAACACAUCACCAUCCAACCUGCUAUGGAUAUACCACACUUGAUUGGAUAGUGAGCCUAUUGCUCAUCCAUCGAUGUCCAAUUUGGUGUUUGCUUUUGACUUCCACGCGAGGUAGAGUGCUAGAUCUCCCUCAUAUUUGUCAAGGAUUGGGAGCUUCUCUCUUGAGGGCUUUUCAUGAGGCGCGGGUGUAGAAGGAACAGUGAACACAGAAGUGCUCAUCUCAGCAAGUCAUCAUUGCAAUUCAGCCAUCUGUAGCACCUGCUGCUGGAGGAUGCUUCAUAGGUCUAAGUUAUCAUCCGCUGUGUUCGGGUGCGGUGGGUGUUUGUAGGAUUGCUCAUAGUUCAUUUCAAUAUCUAAGGACAUAUAAUAAUAAAAAAAAAAAAGAAAAGGAAUACUCAGUCCUCUUGCAGGCACUAUUCACAGUGUUGCAGCACUAAGCUUGGUCAAGCUUCUU